UCCUCCCUCUUUCUUCGUGCUUAACACAUGCAAGUCGAACGGUGAUGCUCCAGCUUGCUGGAGUGGAUCAGUGGCGAACGGGUGAGUAACACGUGAGCAACCUGCCCCAGACUCUGGAAUAAGCGCUGGAAACGGCGUCUAAUACUGGAUACGAAACUGGCCCGCAUGGGCAUGGUUUGGAAAGUUUUUCGGUUUGGGAUGGGCUCGCGGCCUAUCAGCUUGUUGGUGAGGUAAUGGCUCACCAAGGCGACGACGGGUAGCCGGCCUGAGAGGGCGACCGGCCACACUGGGACUGAGACACGGCCCAGACACCUACGGGAGGCAGCAGUGGGGAAUAUUGCACAAUGGGCGAAAGCCUGAUGCAGCGACGCCGCGUGAGGGAUGACGGCCUUCGGGUUGUAAACCUCUUUCAGCAGGGAAGAAGCGAAAGUGACGGUACCUGCAGAAGAAGCACCGGCUAACUACGUG
RNAcentral lists this ribosomal RNA (468 nucleotides) under uncultured bacterium. RNAcentral's name for it is "partial 16S ribosomal RNA". It matches the Rfam family "Bacterial small subunit ribosomal RNA", at positions 36 to 507 of the family's 1533-position model. The record is from RNAcentral.